AAACAGAUACAUAUCCGGUCACCAUUUAGGUGUGAGUUGGAUGUAAUUUCAAAAACUGUGAUUCCAAUAUUAUUUUAAGAAAUAUAUUACAAAAUCCCGCGAUAGGACAGAUUAUCUCGCGAGAUAGUGGUCACGUCACGCGUUCUUCCGGAAGUUCACAUUCAAACACGAGGAGCGAUUACGAGGGAGUUUUGUCUAUAUAUUAUGCAAAAUCUACUGUUGGGAAAAGCAGAACCUCGUCCAAAUAAAAAUAAACAAACUGUUAAAGGCACUGUGUCCUACACAGACCCUCCAAAAUAUAACCACCCAAAACCCAAGUCAGUUGAAGAUCAACACAAACCAAAUAAAGAUGUUGCACAUUCUACAAACAAUAACAAAAGAUCAAGUGUUGUGUCAAACACACUUAGAUGAGGCGUGCCCGACCCCUGACUUUGUCUACCCUACAUUAAGUUGCACACUUCAUGACAGUAAACAUCGGUAUCAAGAUGGUGUGAUUGAUCUAUACCCUGGCCUAGAAUAAGCUGUGACACUAUGAGACGGUCACAUAAUGAACAGGCAUCUUACAGACAACCGAAAGAGGCAUACGUAUUCUCUACAAUCCCAAAUUCUGGAUUGACGCCCCAGUACCAGAGGGCACCCCAAUCCCAGAGAGCAUCCAUCUGAAAGCAGGUGAUGAAUUUACUACUAAUCAAGGAACUGGCUUUACUGACGAGAUGCGCAUGAUAUCGCAUGCGAUUUAUCGUGCAGCCCUAGAUUUUACAUUAGUGACAACUCAGCUUAGAGGAUAAACAUGUACAUUUCUCUGAAUCUGAGUUAAUAGUUACAAAUACAGAGCUUAUAAUGUCUGUCAUUGCUCAACCACAAAGACCUAAAAGUACAGACAGCUAAUUUCAUAACUAAUGCAGUAUUACACUGUGAAGUUAUUUAUAUAUACUGUUAAAAUAUUACACUACCAUAUAAUUAACUCUAUUUGUCCAGGUGAGGUAACACAACGAAAAAAUAACAGGAUGGAGACUACCUGACUCUUCACCUAUGGCCUCAGCUUCAAAUGUCCAGCAACUGUCUGCGUUGGUGGAUAUUCUGUCAGAGACUGCGUGAACAAUGUUAUGAGCAGGUAUGUAUUUCUCUUGAAUUGUGUAAUCCUGCAUAAUAUUUCAGGAAUAUAUGUUGAUUACCACCAUUAACCCAGCUAUUUAUAUUACUUCAUUUCAGGAUUUAAUCUGUCACACAUUACUUGUCAGAAGUUUUAAUGUUCGUAGUGGUUCAAACAGUCAGCCAUACUGAAAACAAGAAAUCAAAACAUAAUUUCAGUAAUGAUGUCUAAUUGUCUUAUGGCAAAGUUCAAUAUGAGGGGUGGUGGACAUCUGGAAAAGAAGUCUUUUAAAGGCACACCUUUGUAUUAUGUUAUUCAAGAUGCUGUGAAGAGGUGGAGCCCAAAUGCCAGAGACUCAGAAAUAGAUGCAGCUAUGGCAGACCACCUCAAGCACGCUCCAGGAAGAGGGCUGGGGGUUGUGAAUACACUAAAUAAGCCAAACAGCUGUAAUGUGUUAAAGAGAGAGUUAACCCAAAAAUGAAAAUUUUAUAAUUUUCUUACCCACAUGUUUCAAACCUGUAUACAUUUCUAUUUUCUGCUGAACACAAAGAUUGAAAAAUGUUUGUAACCAAGCUAACUGUCAAUAAUUUUUUUUUACAACUGUAGUACUGGGUUGUGAGAUCUGCUUUCUGCUUUCUAUUCUUUCAAAUAUCUUUGUGUUCAGCAGAACAUAGAAAAGUAUACAGGUUUGAAACAUAAGAGAGAGUAAAUUACUAAAUAAUCAUUUUUGGGUGAACUAUCCUUUUAUAUAGUAAAGUAUUUUGAAAUUGUUAUUAUAGUUAAACAGUUUAAAAAAAAUAAAAAGUGCUAAAUCAGAA
This is a non-coding RNA of Paramisgurnus dabryanus, 1911 nucleotides long. NCBI's taxonomy places the organism in Eukaryota, Metazoa, Chordata, Actinopteri, Cypriniformes, Cobitidae. The record is from RefSeq and is a predicted model, not a curated record.